AUUGAACGCUGGCGGCGUGCUUAACACAUGCAAGUCGUGCGGUAACAGGCGUAGCAAUACGUGCUGACGAGCGGCGAACGGGUGCGUAAUACAUGGGAAUCUGCCCUUUAGUGGGGAAUAACCCGGCGAAAGCCGGGCUAAUGCCGCAUAAGAUCUUCGGAUGAAAGCGGGGGAGUCGUAAGACCUCGCGCUGAUGGAUGAGCCCACUGUCGGAUUAGCAGUUGGUGAGGUAACGGCUCACCAAGGCGACGAUCCGUAGCUGGUCUGAGAGGACGGCCA
Molecule: ribosomal RNA, 279 nt
Filed under: uncultured bacterium
Lineage: Bacteria
Description: partial 16S ribosomal RNA
Rfam family: Bacterial small subunit ribosomal RNA
Source: RNAcentral